UACGAAGGGGGCUAGCGUUGCUCGGAAUCACUGGGCGUAAAGCGCACGUAGGCGGAUUGCUAAGUCAGGGGUGAAAUCCUGGAGCUCAACUCCAGAACUGCCUUUGAUACUGGCGAUCUCGAGUCCGGGAGAGGUGAGUGGAACUGCGAGUGUAGAGGUGAAAUUCGUAGAUAUUCGCAAGAACACCAGUGGCGAAGGCGGCUCACUGGCCCGGUACUGACGCUGAGGCACGAAGGUCAGGGGAGCAAACGGG
Molecule: ribosomal RNA, 253 nt
Filed under: uncultured bacterium
Lineage: Bacteria
Description: partial 16S ribosomal RNA
Rfam family: Bacterial small subunit ribosomal RNA
Source: RNAcentral